GACGAACGCUGGCGGCGUGCCUAAUACAUGCAAGUCGAACGCUGAAGGAGGAGCUUGCUUCUCUGGAUGAGUUGCGAACGGGUGAGUAACGCGUAGGUAACCUGCCUGGUAGCGGGGGAUAACUAUUUGAAACGAUAGCUAAUACCGCAUAAGAGUAGAUGUUGCAUGACAUUUGCUUAAAAGGUUCAAUUGCAUCACUACCAGAUGGACCUGCGUUGUAUUAGCUAGUUGGUGGGGUAACGGCUCACCAAGGCGACGAUACAUAGCCGACCUGAGAGGGUGAUCGGCCACACUGGGACUGAGACACGGCCCAGACUCCUACGGGAGGCAGAAGUAGGGAAUCUUCGGCAAUGGACGGAAGGCUGACCGAGCAACGCCGCGUGAGUGAAGAAGGUUUUAGGAUCGUAAAGCUCUGUUGUAAGAGAAGAACGAGUGUGAGAGUGGAAAGUUCACACUGUGACGGUAUCUGACCAGAAAGGGACGGCUAACUACGUG
Molecule: ribosomal RNA, 495 nt
Filed under: uncultured bacterium
Lineage: Bacteria
Description: partial 16S ribosomal RNA
Rfam family: Bacterial small subunit ribosomal RNA
Source: RNAcentral